UGCUGGUGGAGUCGAGGAGAGCGCGCAACGUUUAUGUUCUGGAUACACGAAGAACAGCACGAAAGAGGAUAUGCCAAAACUUAGUAAAGCUGCCGUUGUGAAGAAGUUUGGCUCGUCAUUUGCACUUGGCCUUAAAAAUCAUUUGAAGAACAAGGACGGCAGCAACCGUGCGAACGCUGACCAAGCAGCAACAGCGACAAGAACGAAAAGUUUAAGCAUAAGCUUUUAGCGUAAGCUCGAACUGCUCGCAAGUUAAGGCAAAAGCACGAUAUUUAUAUUUUGUUAUUGUUUUUGCUGGGAUACAAAAAAGCUUUAUUCUGUGCACUAAUUUUUGUUGAUGAAUUCAAAAACACGCGCGUGUGUGCAUGUGUGUGUUUAGUAAACAUCCAAUAGCGUACCUGUCAUUGUUUGGCUAAUUGUGAAUGAGUACAAAAUAGCUACAUAAUAAUAAACUUGGUCACCGUAGUUGAA
Molecule: long non-coding RNA, 471 nt
Organism: Anastrepha ludens (Mexican fruit fly)
Lineage: Eukaryota; Metazoa; Arthropoda; Insecta; Diptera; Tephritidae
Exons: 2
Source: RefSeq, a predicted model, not a curated record